RNAcentral lists this unclassified non-coding RNA (240 nucleotides) under soil metagenome. RNAcentral describes it as "partial contains 5.8S ribosomal RNA, internal transcribed spacer 2, and large subunit ribosomal RNA". The record is from RNAcentral.
AACCUUAUGGACCUGCGGGCGUAUACCUGCGGAGGGAUCAUCAUCGAAUUCAUAUCCCCCUCCUCUCCCGAGGGGGCCCACGAUAAACCGUUCUGUGCACUGUUAAACCGUUCACUUUGGCAGGUUUUGGUGGUGAGCGUGAGCUCGCCUCCAAUCUCGCGUUCCCUCCUCCCUAAGGGGGUGUUACGCGUGGCGGCCUGCCAGAGUCCUCCCAUUAAAAACACGUUUUCGAACACGUCU